AAAUUGCCAGCAGUUCAGUUGGGCACUUUAAAGAGACUGCCGGUGUUAAACCGGAGGAAGGUGGGGAUGAACGUCAAGUCCUCAUGGCCUUUAUGCUUAGGGCUACACGCGUACUACAAUGGCCGGUACAAAGGGCAGCCACUCAGCGAUGGGGCGCUAAUCCCAUAAAGCCGGUCUCAGUCCGGAUCGCAGUCUGCAACUCGACUGCGUGAAGUUGGAAUCGCUAGUAAUCGUAGAUCAGCAUGCUACGGUGAAUACGUUCCCGGGCCUU
Molecule: ribosomal RNA, 271 nt
Filed under: uncultured Desulfovibrio sp.
Lineage: Bacteria; Pseudomonadati; Thermodesulfobacteriota; Desulfovibrionia; Desulfovibrionales; Desulfovibrionaceae
Description: partial 16S ribosomal RNA
Rfam family: Bacterial small subunit ribosomal RNA
Source: RNAcentral